Molecule: ribosomal RNA, 484 nt
Filed under: uncultured bacterium
Lineage: Bacteria
Description: partial 16S ribosomal RNA
Rfam family: Bacterial small subunit ribosomal RNA
Source: RNAcentral
AUUGAACGCUGGCGGCAUGCCUUACACAUGCAAGUCGAACGGCAGCGCGGGCUUCUUCCUGGCGGCGAGUGGCGAACGGGUGAGUAAUUCAUCCGUACGUGCCCAGUAGUUUGGGAUAGCCCGGCGAAAGCCGGAUUAAUACCGCAUCCGACCUGAUGUUGAAAGCGGGGGACCGAAAGUCAUCGCGCUUUUUGAUCUGCCGAUGUCGUAUUAGCUAGUUGGUGGGGUAAAGGCUUACCAAGGCGACGAUCCGUAGCUGGUCUGAGAGGACGACCAGCCACACUGGGACUGAGACACGGUCCAGACUCCUACGGGAGGCAGCAGUGGGGAAUUUUGGACAAUGGGGGAAAGCCUGAUCCAGCAAUGCCGCGUGAGGGAAGAAGGCCUUCGGGUUGUAAACCGCUUUUGUUCGGGAAGAAAAACUCUGGGCUAAUACCCCGGGGGGAUGACGGUACCGGAAGAAUAAGCACCGGCUAACUACGUG